UUGAGGAGUGACGGCGAGCCCUUUACCGGGCGGAAGCAAUUGAGCCCAUACUGUCAAGAAAAACCUCUAGUGAGACUUGCAUGCCCGUACCGUAAACCGACACUGGUAGAUGGGUAGAGUAUACCAAGGGGAUCGGGAGAAUCUUCGUUAAGGAAUUAGGCAAAUUAGGUCCGUAACUUCGGGAGAAGGACCACCUCUGUAGGGUGAUAGCGACUUGCUUGCUUGAGCCUGAAGAGGUCGCAGAGAAAUGGCUCUAUCGACUGUUUAUCAAAAACACAGGUCUGUGCGAAGUCGCAAGACGAAGUAUACAGGCUGACGCCUGCCCAGUGCCGGAAGGUUAAGGGGAGGGGUGCAAGCCCUGAACUGAAGCCCCGGUGAACGGCGGCUGUAACUAUAACAGUCCUAAGGUAGCGAAAUUCCUUGUCGGGUAAGUUCCGACCCGCACGAAAGGCGUAACGAAUGGAGCGCUGUCUCAACGAGGAACCCGGUGAAACUGAAUUAGGAGUGAAGAUGCUUCUUACCCGCAGCUGGACAAAAAGACCCCGUGGAGCUUUACUGUAGCUUGGCAUUGGGUUAGGACUUAGUCUGUGUAGUAUAGGUGGGAGACUGUGAAGCUGGUCCGCUAGGAUCGGUGGAGUCGCCAGUGAAAUACCACUCUGAUUAAGUUUUGACUCUAACCUUCACCGUUAUCCGGUGAGGAAACAGUGCCAGGUGGGCAGUUUGACUGGGGCGGUCGCCUCCUAAAGAGUAACGGAGGCGUGCAAAGGUUCCCUCAGGCUGAAUGGAAACCAGUCGUAGAGUGCAAACGCAUAAGGGAGCUUGACUGCGAGACCUACAAGUCGAGCAGAGACGAAAGUCGGCGUUAGUGAUCCUAUGGUUCCGAGUGGAAGGGCCAUGGCUUAACGGAUAAAAGCUACCCCGGGGAUAACAGGCUAGUCUCCCCCAAGAGUUCACAUCGACGGGGAGGUUCGGCACCUCGAUGUCGGCUCGUCACAUCCUGGGGCCGUAGCAGGUCCCAAGGGUUGGGCUGUUCGCCCAUUAAAGUGGUACGCGAGCUGGGUUCAGACCGUCAUGAGACAGGUCGGUCUCUAUCCGCUGUGGGCGUAAGGGAAUUGAAGAGAUCUGCCCCUAGUACGAGAGGACCGGGGUGGACAGACCUCUGGUGUGCCAGUUGUCCUGCCAAGGGCAUCGCUGGGUAGCUAAGUCUGGAAUGGAUAACCGCUGAAAGCAUCUAAGUGGGAAGCCGGCUCUAAGAUAAGUUCCCUCACAGGUUAACCUGGUAAGCGUGCUGGUAGACCACCAGCUUGAUAGGCGGCACGUGUACAGGCAGCAAUGUCUUCAGCGAAGCCGUACUAAUACGCGAGGGCUUAACC
This 1373-nucleotide ribosomal RNA is filed under the name metagenome. RNAcentral's name for it is "bacterial LSU rRNA". It matches the Rfam family "Bacterial large subunit ribosomal RNA", at positions 1556 to 2925 of the family's 2925-position model. The record is from RNAcentral.